This 16-nucleotide ribosomal RNA is filed under the name Rhynchospora sanariapensis. RNAcentral describes it as "partial 26S ribosomal RNA". Lineage: Eukaryota; Viridiplantae; Streptophyta; Magnoliopsida; Poales; Cyperaceae. The record is from RNAcentral.
UACACCCCAGGUCAGG